Molecule: long non-coding RNA, 225 nt
Filed under: Elaeis guineensis (African oil palm)
Lineage: Eukaryota; Viridiplantae; Streptophyta; Magnoliopsida; Arecales; Arecaceae
Description: long non-coding RNA (EGUI_LNC065882)
Source: RNAcentral
ACUAUUCUAGAUCGACAACUUAUACAAAGUAAAUAAAAACAAAGAUAUAUAAGCAUGAAAAAUAAUUCUUUAUCAUAUGAAGAAAAAGAAAUAUAAAAGAUCUCAUAAUGAAAAAUACUGUCUAAAAAGAUUAUAGAUAGAGCUCCUGAGAGGUGGUUGUCUAGUCGGCCAUCAGGAGAUUCUUCACUAUGAUCUGCAUCUUAAACUUUGGAGAUUCCUUUCUUG